Molecule: non-coding RNA, 2320 nt
Organism: Schizosaccharomyces pombe (fission yeast)
Lineage: Eukaryota; Fungi; Ascomycota; Schizosaccharomycetes; Schizosaccharomycetales; Schizosaccharomycetaceae
Source: the annotation of a GenBank genome assembly
CACCCAACUAAAGUAAUAGAUACAGCAGAGCUCGAAUCAUCGAGAAAAAUAAGAGAGGAAGUAAAAGGAAUAAAAAAUGAAGGAAAAUGGAAAUUAAAAAGAAAAAAAAUAAUAUAAUAUAAUAUAAUAUAAUAUUAAAUAAAAGUAUAAAUAACAAUAAAAGGAAAAAAAAAAAGGAAUUAAAAAUUCUUAAAUUUAGUUUUAUUUUAUUUUAUUUCUAAAUGCUCAUUUUCAAUGAUAUUAAAAAAUAUAUAUAUUUAUAUAUUUAUUUUAAAACAAAUGAAACUACUGAAAUUCUCUUUAACAACUUCUCUUUAAUAAAAACUCCUCUUAAAUAUAUUUUAAUAAAUUAAAUAAAUUCAUCAAAUUAUGAACUUUUAUUGAAAUCUGUCAAGGAAAAAUUCAUUAUAAAAAUAAUUUCUCCAAAAAUAAAUUUUUUUUCCUAUCCUAUCCUAUCCAAUCCUAUCCAAUUCAACCCAUCCAUCCAUCCAUUCAUCCAUUCUCGACGCCUUUUAUCUUUUCACAUCUUCCACUGCUAUUUCAAUACAUUUUUGCCAUUCUCUUUCGGCUCUUUUUCUGCUCUCUCUUUCUCUUUCUCUCUCUCUCUCUUUGGUUGCUUUGUUUCACCGAUUAAUCUCAUUGUCUGUCUUACUUCCCGCGGCACCUUUUCUGCCUAAAUCGAGGGAUUUUUUUUUACUCUACUUCGGCUGCCUUGUUCUUUUGCUCUUUCCCUCUUUCCCUAAUACUGGACACUUUCCAUCCAUCUCGCUAUAGAGCAUUGUAACAUAUCCAUGUCUAUCAUGGAUAAGGCACUCGCUUUCAAAUGCCGUUGAUACGGGUUAUCGUAGCGAAAGACCAAGCUCGACAAUGUGUUUUAUAGACAGGGAGGUGAAAAGAUCGCCCGACCCUUGCGUUACACUGAUUUGCGUAGUGUAACCGUACCUUGGUUUAAGUAGGUUCCUUUAAUUUCUAAAGAAUUAAAAAAAAAAAAAAACACCUGAUGAAAUGAAACAAAAAUACGCUGGACACACACGGAUGAUGAAUGUACUGUACAAGCCUCGUCUUACUUUGCCUUUCUAUACUUUGCCACAUUGCCAGCUUCCCUUUACCUUCUUUUGUUUGCUAGUGUUUUCCUCUUUUCCUUCACAUUUACUUUUCCAUACCAACCAUCUUUAUCCAGCUGGAUCCAAAGGGGUUAAAAAAAAAAAUUUUCUUCUCCACAAUCCACCAUUGCCGAUGUCAAUCAUUUGGAUGGAAUUUAGGUAUUUACAAUAGAGUGGCUGACUGACUGGCAAUUUGCUUCAUUACGACCUGGACCUUGGAAUCUCUUUUUUUCUGUAUUUAUUUUUUAUUUUCUCUUUCUUUUCUUCUCCCUUUCUUCCAUACAUAAAGCCAUCUUUUCCUCCUUCAUCUCGUGCCAUGAUAAGAAAAGCCGAUUCAUUGUUGAUAAAACCCAAGGUUGACGGCAGUUGUUCUUCAUCGCACACUACAAUAGACAAAUCAAUGACUUGGAUUGCGCUAGCUUGCGAUGUUGAUGUUAAACUCGAUAAAUUUGUUUGUCCUGUUUCUUUGGCUUGCUUGUUUGGUAAGCAAUGUUUCUAUCUGAUAGACCGCAAUCUUCCGUCCUUUUCUGUUUUUUCACUCUUGUAUUUGUGUUACAGACGAACAAUCGGAUUUUUGUAAUCGCAUUAGCAAUUUAUGAAACAGUACACUAACGCUCAUUAGAAAAUUACCGUUCGCAUUGCAAACAAAGUCUUUCUUUUGAAUCCAUCCUUCUCUGCUUCCCUCCUUUAUGCUUCCUUCACUCCAUGUGAAUGAGCACGACUUCUCCUAUGAGUUAAAACCUUACAUCUGAAACCUUUAAACCUUUGUCUAUCUCUUUUUAAACUAUUCAAUCCCCAACUUUAUGCUUCUAGAAAUGGAUCAAGAAAAUCAUAUUUGGUUCCAUUCAUUUUUUCAAAUUUGACUUUUUCCUACCCGUAAUCAAUAGAAUACGAUUUCCGUGUUUUUUCGGCCUCGGUGAAUUUGUUGUAGAGACUUAAACUAAUGCUUAAAAACAUCAAUCACCAAAAAAAAAAAAAAAAAAAAAAAAAAAAAAGAAUUAAAAAAAUAUAUUUAUAUAUGCAAGACGUUUCCGCAAUUUGUUCAACUUACUACUUUGUUAAUAGUUUAUAUAUUUAAUAACUAUAGACAUCAUUAUAUUAUAUCAAAAGUAGCCCAACAGUAAGCUAACAAAGCAUAAGGCUUAUAAUCUCUUUGUAAACAAUAAAAUUAAAAAAUAAAAUCGCAAAAAGAAUAAAAAGAAGCCUACAGCACCCCG